CGAAAGAGUAAACAUACAUAUAAUACUUUUAUGUAAAGAUUUGAUAGCUUUUACUAUACAUGUGCACGUGUGUUACGUACGUUUGUGAUUGGCAUGUGUCAUUUAUGAGCGAAAAAACGAUAUAAAAUCCCCGUGCACGGCGCAACAUGUUUAGUUUCGGUGUCUUACUCUGAUAUUUGAGUGCUCUCGAUUUGAUUUCUGCUUUUGGUUUUGAGCGAAAUGCUUUGCGAACUUAUGAAAAAUAGCUGCGGUAUCUUCACUGCAUACUUGAUAGUUACUGUUUUAGUGAUGUCGACCUUUAUCACAAUAGCAGAUUCCGAAUCAAAUGUCAUACAAGUUCCUUGGAAGACGUGUCCCGAAGGUCAACUAUUAAAUGCCAUUGGGGAAUGUACUCCAAUCUUUCAAUAAUCUCUACUCGUUUGACUGAAUUAGCCAAUAAAAUGUGUAUCAACGAUAAUGGCGUAUAUAUUUAGUUAGCAGUUACACGCACAAGUGAAUUGGAAUAUGAAUCCGGUUUCGGCUAACUUGUUUAGCCAAGAAAUAUAUCUACGACAAAAACUCACGAAGCGAGAAGAAGUGGUUAGCCAUAAAUGCGCACAUAUUAUUGCAAUUUUUAUUUCUAAUCUUUAUUUUUACAAACUUUUGUAAAGAUUAAGUUUGUGGGAUUAUAUUAAUGAAAUGGCAUAAUGAAUACAAUUUACUUACAAAAUACACACGAUAAAUCUUUUCUGGAAUUCUUUACAAAAAAAAAUAAUAAUAGUAAAAUAAAGUAUAAAUAGUUGGCAUGAUUCAGAAGAAUUUAUCUAUUUUUCAAGAAUAAAGCACAUUGUAUUUUUA
Molecule: long non-coding RNA, 837 nt
Organism: Vollenhovia emeryi
Lineage: Eukaryota; Metazoa; Arthropoda; Insecta; Hymenoptera; Formicidae
Exons: 2
Source: RefSeq, a predicted model, not a curated record